AUGGAACAGGGAUCUCUGAGGAUUUCUUUUAUGAUUUUGUCCCCAGUUUUCUUCUACUUUCUUGCUCAUUCAGGAGUUUCUGAGUUCCCUCCAGUGAUGGAUGGGGAGUUUAACAACACACAGGGCUUCAUUCACAGUGGGAUACACGAAGGACUAGUGCUGCUCCCAUUAGAGGCUGACAAGGACACAGAUGAGCACGGAUUAAAGGAGCGAUGUGUCCUGUCUGGUUUCAGAUUCCAGAUUGCCUCUUCUUCCCUACCCUGCAUCCAAGGCACCAACGAGAACUGACUUCAUGAUUCUGAGGACCAAACAAGUCUGGGGAAGAAACAGCAUAUACUUCCAUGUAUACACAAUGGAUCUGACUACCCAAACACACGGGGAAGUUUGAGAUUCUUUUGAUAUUACUUCUGAACACGCAGUACUUCUUUCUUCAGUACAUGGAAAAGAGAUCAACUCCUUGUUUAGUAGUACUGCACAGACGUCUGACACCAUCUGGGAAUGAUCGUAGAAUCUAUGAACUUGGAGAUUGCAUGUUUUUACUCGAUGUAUUUCCUAGAAGAGUCUGAAACUUCACAUGCUGGUCCGUAUGCUACCUCAACCCAUUGUGAAUAAAUUAUUUUUAUAACAGCUAUACA
This 635-nucleotide long non-coding RNA is filed under the name Anser cygnoides (Swan goose). RNAcentral's name for it is "lncRNA (ENSACDG00005003944.1)". Lineage: Eukaryota; Metazoa; Chordata; Aves; Anseriformes; Anatidae. The record is from RNAcentral.